GGGUAGAGCAGUCAGGUAGCUCACUAGGCUCAUGACCUUGAUGUCGUAGGUUCAAAUCCUACCUCC
RNAcentral lists this transfer RNA (66 nucleotides) under Palpitomonas bilix. It matches the Rfam family "tRNA", at positions 5 to 66 of the family's 71-position model. From Rfam's summary of the family: Transfer RNA (tRNA) molecules are approximately 80 nucleotides in length. Their secondary structure includes four short double-helical elements and three loops (D, anti-codon, and T loops). Further hydrogen bonds mediate the characteristic L-shaped molecular structure. tRNAs have two regions of fundamental functional importance: the anti-codon, which is responsible for specific mRNA codon recognition, and the 3' end, to which the tRNAs corresponding amino acid is attached (by aminoacyl-tRNA synthetases). tRNAs cope with the degeneracy of the genetic code in two manners: having more than one tRNA (with a specific anti-codon) for a particular amino acid; and 'wobble' base-pairing, i.e. permitting non-standard base-pairing at the 3rd anti-codon position. The record is from RNAcentral.